GAUGAACGCUGGCGGCGUGCCUAAUACAUGCAAGUCGAGCGAACGGACGAGAAGCUUGCUUCUCUGAUGUUAGCGGCGGACGGGUGAGUAACACGUGGAUAACCUACCUAUAAGACUGGGAUAACUUCGGGAAACCGGAGCUAAUACCGGAUAAUAUUUUGAACCGCAUGGUUCAAAAGUGAAAGACGGUCUUGCUGUCACUUAUAGAUGGAUCCGCGCUGCAUUAGCUAGUUGGUAAGGUAACGGCUUACCAAGGCAACGAUGCAUAGCCGACCUGAGAGGGUGAUGGGCCACACUGGAACUGAGACACGGUCAAGACUCCUACGGGAGGCAGCAGUAGGGAAUCUUCCGCAAUGGGCGAAAGCCUGACGGAGCAACGCCGCGUGAGUGAUGAAGGUCUUCGGAUCGUAAAACUCUGUUAUUAGGGAAGAACAUAUGUGUAAGUAACUGUGCACAUCUUGACGGUACCUAAUCAGAAAGCCACGGCUAACUACGUG
This 497-nucleotide ribosomal RNA is filed under the name uncultured bacterium. RNAcentral's name for it is "partial 16S ribosomal RNA". It matches the Rfam family "Bacterial small subunit ribosomal RNA", at positions 28 to 507 of the family's 1533-position model. The record is from RNAcentral.